AUUGAACGCUGGCGGCAUGCUUUACACAUGCAAGUCGAACGGCAGCACGGGCUUCGGCCUGGUGGCGAGUGGCGAACGGGUGAGUAAUGCAUCGGAACGUGCCCAUUUGUGGGGGAUAACUACGCGAAAGCGUGGCUAAUACCGCAUACGCCCUGAGGGGGAAAGCGGGGGAUUCUUCGGAACCUCGCGCAAUUGGAGCGGCCGAUGUCAGAUUAGCUUGUUGGUGAGGUAAAGGCUCACCAAGGCGACGAUCUGUAGCGGGUCUGAGAGGAUGAUCCGCCACACUGGGACUGAGACACGGCCCAGACUCCUACGGGAGGCAGCAGUGGGGAAUUUUGGACAAUGGGGGCAACCCUGAUCCAGCCAUGCCGCGUGAGUGAAGAAGGCCUCGG
Molecule: ribosomal RNA, 392 nt
Filed under: uncultured bacterium
Lineage: Bacteria
Description: bacterial SSU rRNA
Rfam family: Bacterial small subunit ribosomal RNA
Source: RNAcentral